UGGGGAAUUUUGGACAAUGGGCGAAAGCCUGAUCCAGCAAUGCCGCGUGUGUGAAGAAGGCCUUCGGGUUGUAAAGCACUUUUGUCCGGAAAGAAAUCCUUGGCUCUAAUACAGUCGGGGGAUGACGGUACCGGAAGAAUAAGCACCGGCUAACUACGUGCCAGCAGCCGCGGUAAUACGUAGGGUGCAAGCGUUAAUCGGAAUUACUGGGCGUAAAGCGUGCGCAGGCGGUUUGCUAAGACCGAUGUGAAAUCCCCGGGCUCAACCUGGGAACUGCAUUGGUGACUGGCAGGCUAGAGUAUGGCAGAGGGGGGUAGAAUUCCACGUGUAGCAGUGAAAUGCGUAGAGAUGUGGAGGAAUACCGAUGGCGAAGGCAGCCCCCUGGGCCAAUACUGACGCUCAUGCACGAAAGCGUGGGGAGCAAACAGGAUUAGAUACCCUGGUAGUCCACGCCCUAAAACGAUGUCAACUAGUUGUUGGGGAUUCAUUUCCUUAGUAACGUAGCUAACGCGUGAAGUUGACCGCCUGGGGAGUACGGUCGCAAGAUUAAAACUUAAAGGAAUUGACGGGGUCAUAGCUG
Molecule: ribosomal RNA, 580 nt
Filed under: uncultured bacterium
Lineage: Bacteria
Description: partial 16S ribosomal RNA
Rfam family: Bacterial small subunit ribosomal RNA
Source: RNAcentral